GCACUACCGAGGAGUCCCACAAUAAGACGAGACGGCCGUCCAGUGC
Non-coding RNA from Schistosoma rodhaini, 46 nucleotides. NCBI's taxonomy places the organism in Eukaryota, Metazoa, Platyhelminthes, Trematoda, Strigeidida, Schistosomatidae. The record is from Rfam.